UAUGAUAAUUGAAGCAAAUAAGUUAUAAUUAACAUUUAAUAAGUAUAGUAAGAACAAUUACAAUGUUAUGAGUUUUCUAGAAAUAUUGAAUUACUCUCAUUUGCAUAUAUUUGAUAAACCAGUUGAAGUUCAUGUUAUAAUUUACCAGUUCAUAAUAAUAAUCCACUGAAUAAUCCAACUGUAUGUCUUGCAUUUUUGUGAAGAUUCAAUUGUAGAAACUGUAGUAAAUCGUAGUAAAUUCCACGCACCUGUGCUUGAAUUUAUGAAUGAAAUGUAUUGACAUGCGCAGUAGAACCCAUGUGUCACUUGGGACGAUUGUUCAAUAAAAACACUAUUUUAACAUUGUGGCAACUGUUUUCACAUACUUCGUGUAAUUCCUUUUAGUAUUUGUAGUCAACGUCUUCAAUGUUUUGUAGAUGUUAAUGUUCAUUAUCCUUGAUAUUUAAAAUUUUGAUCCGCCGGUGACACACAUACUUUUUGCAAAUGUUG
Molecule: long non-coding RNA, 489 nt
Filed under: Mytilus galloprovincialis (Mediterranean mussel)
Lineage: Eukaryota; Metazoa; Mollusca; Bivalvia; Mytilida; Mytilidae
Source: RNAcentral